This 242-nucleotide long non-coding RNA is filed under the name Elaeis guineensis (African oil palm). RNAcentral's name for it is "long non-coding RNA (EGUI_LNC016683)". The record is from RNAcentral. Lineage: Eukaryota; Viridiplantae; Streptophyta; Magnoliopsida; Arecales; Arecaceae.
CCCGAUCAAAAUAAUGUCGCAUAUGCAAAGUGGGAGGUAUGUGUUAGUGCAAUUAACUGAUCAUGUGACAACAUCAGAAAGAAUUGUCUGAGAAUUAUAUUGAUCAAGUCAACUUCAGGAUCAAGUCGGUGAAAUAUCGAUCUAAUUUAACCUUCAGCUUGAUUAUAUAUUGAUCUAAACUCAUCUGGAUUGACUCAAUUGAGCAUUGUGAUCAGCUAAGCCACCUACAGAUCUGUCACCUG